This 1481-nucleotide ribosomal RNA is filed under the name Vibrio parahaemolyticus. RNAcentral's name for it is "bacterial SSU rRNA". It matches the Rfam family "Bacterial small subunit ribosomal RNA". The record is from RNAcentral. Lineage: Bacteria; Pseudomonadati; Pseudomonadota; Gammaproteobacteria; Vibrionales; Vibrionaceae.
CUCAGAUUGAACGCUGGCGGCAGGCCUAACACAUGCAAGUCGAGCGGAAACGAGUUAUCUGAACCUUCGGGGAACGAUAACGGCGUCGAGCGGCGGACGGGUGAGUAAUGCCUAGGAAAUUGCCCUGAUGUGGGGGAUAACCAUUGGAAACGAUGGCUAAUACCGCAUGAUGCCUACGGGCCAAAGAGGGGGACCUUCGGGCCUCUCGCGUCAGGAUAUGCCUAGGUGGGAUUAGCUAGUUGGUGAGGUAAGGGCUCACCAAGGCGACGAUCCCUAGCUGGUCUGAGAGGAUGAUCAGCCACACUGGAACUGAGACACGGUCCAGACUCCUACGGGAGGCAGCAGUGGGGAAUAUUGCACAAUGGGCGCAAGCCUGAUGCAGCCAUGCCGCGUGUGUGAAGAAGGCCUUCGGGUUGUAAAGCACUUUCAGUCGUGAGGAAGGUGGUGUAGUUAAUAGCUGCAUUAUUUGACGUUAGCGACAGAAGAAGCACCGGCUAACUCCGUGCCAGCAGCCGCGGUAAUACGGAGGGUGCGAGCGUUAAUCGGAAUUACUGGGCGUAAAGCGCAUGCAGGUGGUUUGUUAAGUCAGAUGUGAAAGCCCGGGGCUCAACCUCGGAAUAGCAUUUGAAACUGGCAGACUAGAGUACUGUAGAGGGGGGUAGAAUUUCAGGUGUAGCGGUGAAAUGCGUAGAGAUCUGAAGGAAUACCGGUGGCGAAGGCGGCCCCCUGGACAGAUACUGACACUCAGAUGCGAAAGCGUGGGGAGCAAACAGGAUUAGAUACCCUGGUAGUCCACGCCGUAAACGAUGUCUACUUGGAGGUUGUGGCCUUGAGCCGUGGCUUUCGGAGCUAACGCGUUAAGUAGACCGCCUGGGGAGUACGGUCGCAAGAUUAAAACUCAAAUGAAUUGACGGGGGCCCGCACAAGCGGUGGAGCAUGUGGUUUAAUUCGAUGCAACGCGAAGAACCUUACCUACUCUUGACAUCCAGAGAACUUUCCAGAGAUGGAUUGGUGCCUUCGGGAACUCUGAGACAGGUGCUGCAUGGCUGUCGUCAGCUCGUGUUGUGAAAUGUUGGGUUAAGUCCCGCAACGAGCGCAACCCUUAUCCUUGUUUGCCAGCGAGUAAUGUCGGGAACUCCAGGGAGACUGCCGGUGAUAAACCGGAGGAAGGUGGGGACGACGUCAAGUCAUCAUGGCCCUUACGAGUAGGGCUACACACGUGCUACAAUGGCGCAUACAGAGGGCGGCCAACUUGCGAAAGUGAGCGAAUCCCAAAAAGUGCGUCGUAGUCCGGAUUGGAGUCUGCAACUCGACUCCAUGAAGUCGGAAUCGCUAGUAAUCGUGGAUCAGAAUGCCACGGUGAAUACGUUCCCGGGCCUUGUACACACCGCCCGUCACACCAUGGGAGUGGGCUGCAAAAGAAGUAGGUAGUUUAACCUUCGGGGGGACGCUUACCACUUUGUGGUUCAUGACUGGGGUGA